Molecule: ribosomal RNA, 498 nt
Filed under: uncultured bacterium
Lineage: Bacteria
Description: partial 16S ribosomal RNA
Rfam family: Bacterial small subunit ribosomal RNA
Source: RNAcentral
AUUGAACGCUGGCGGCAUGCCUUACACAUGCAAGUCGAACGGUAACAGGUCUUCGGAUGCUGUCGAGUGGCGAACGGGUGAGUAAUACAUCGGAACGUGCCUAGUAGUGGGGGAUAACUACUCGAAAGAGUGGCUAAUACCGCAUGAGAUCUACGGAUGAAAGCAGGGGAUCGCAAGCCCUUGUGCUACUAGAGCGGCCGAUGGCCGAUUAGGUAGUUGGUGGGAUAAAAGCUUACCAAGCCGACGAUCUGUAGCUGGUCUGAGAGGACGAUCAGCCACACUGGGACUGAGACACGGCCCAGACUCCUACGGGAGGCAGCAGUGGGGAAUUUUGGACAAUGGGCGCAAGCCUGAUCCAGCAAUGCCGCGUGCAGGAUGAAGGCCUUCGGGUUGUAAACUGCUUUUGUACGGAACGAAAAGCCCCGGGUUAAUACCCUGGGGUCAUGACGGUACCGUAAGAAUAAGCACCGGCUAACUACGUGCCAGCCGCCGCAGUAA